Molecule: ribosomal RNA, 253 nt
Filed under: uncultured bacterium
Lineage: Bacteria
Description: partial 16S ribosomal RNA
Rfam family: Bacterial small subunit ribosomal RNA
Source: RNAcentral
UACAGAGGGGGCAAGCGUUAUUCGGAAUUAUUGGGCGUAAAGGGCGCGUAGGCGGCUUGGCAAGUGGAAGGUGAAAUCCCUCGGCUUAACCGAGGAACUGCCCUCCAAACUGCUUCGCUUGAGACCGGGAGAGGUGAGUGGAAUUCCCAGUGUAGCGGUGAAAUGCGUAGAUAUUGGGAGGAACACCAGUGGCGAAGGCGGCUCACUGGACCGGUACUGACGCUGAUGCGCGAAAGCCAGGGGAGCGAACGGG